RNAcentral lists this ribosomal RNA (459 nucleotides) under uncultured bacterium. Its description in RNAcentral is "partial 16S ribosomal RNA". It matches the Rfam family "Bacterial small subunit ribosomal RNA", at positions 338 to 795 of the family's 1533-position model. The record is from RNAcentral.
CCUACGGGUGACUGCAGUGAGGAAUAUUUGUCAAUGGCCGAGAGGCUGAACCAGCCUAGUCGCGUGAGGGAAGACGGCCCUACGGGUUGUACACCUCUUUUGUCGGGGAGCAAAGAGAGUCACGUGUGACUCAUUGAGAGUACCCGAAGAAAAAGCAUCGGCUAACUCCGUGCCAGCAGCAGCGGUAAUACAAGUGAUACUAGCGUUAUCCGGAUUUAUUGGGUUUAAAGGGUGCGCAGGCGGAGGUGCAAGUCAGCGGUCAAAUUGCGGGGCUCAACCCCGUACUGCCGUUGAAACUGCAUCCCUUGAGUGCGCGAGAAGUAUGCGGAAUGCGUGGUGUAGCGGUGAAAUGCAUAGAUAUCACGCAGAACUCCGAUUGCGAAGGCAGCAUACCGGCGCGCAACUGACGCUCAUGCACGAAAGCGUGGGUAUCGAACAGGAUUAGAUACCCGGGUAGUC